AUCCUAGCCAGCAGUAGUACUGCAGACUUCCCAGUACUGAAGGUGAAUUGUUAAGUUUUGGAGCAUCUGGAAUCUGAAGGGAUGGCCUUGAAGGUCACAUUUCAGCAUGGUCAGGUGUCUAAUCCCAGCACAGAAGACUAAAGAAUAAAGAUUCGUUGUAGAAAGAAGGCAGAGGAAUUCAGAUGCUCAGAGUUCCUCACAGUGCUUCCAGAUGCAGCUGGCUGAGAUGUAUUGACUUGAAAACCACAACGAAAAAGCAUUUGAGAGAUGAAUUCAGAGUGAAUUAGGAUGGGGAGAGCUCAUUACAAUUUGUAUAUAUUGCAAUAGUGAAUGUGACCUUUCUGUCUUUCCUGGUGAUGCUUUAUCUGUGAGAAGGUGUUUCAACUUACAGUGAAAGAUGUAGAAUGCAUCCUUCUUCACUUUACAUCUUCUUUCUCUCCAUUGAAAUGUGGAUUCAGCUUCUUUCUUGUAUUUCCAUUGCACUACUGUCACUGAAAACAAAUUUUACCUCAMCAGUUCUUUUUUACAGUGCUACUGUGCUUCUCUGGUAUAAAAGAGUCUGUGAAAUUUUCAGCAUUCAGCUUUGCAUUCAGGUUGAAACUGAUUUAAAGCUGCAGUUUUGACCCUUUGGGGUGUCUUUAGAACUAAACUUGUAUCAGGCAGAUAAUGUUUAUUUUAGUGCUUUGUUGGGGUGAUUUGUUUUUAAUUGGAUUGUACAGGAGGAGCUUGUUCUUAAGCAAUAUUGAUAAUAUAUCCUAARCAAAUGAUGCAACAAGUGUAUUUUGUACUUAUUUCCAAAGAGAAACUGCAGUUAAUUAUUACAUAUUUCAUAUGCUUGUGAAAACCUGAAUUGAAAGGAAAAUUACAUGAUUCAAAGUAAUACUUUAUGUCAAUAGAGUAGUUUUGUUAGCAAAUGGAGGGACGUGGUUAGCAAUGGAGUUUUAUGCUGCUGGAUCUCAUGUAUGUAUAUGGCUGUAAGCAUACAUCCAAGUAUGAACAAGUCAUGAAAUUCUGGAGAUCGAAAAGCAGCUCAAAUUAUUGACCUUACAUGGCUGUUUGAAGGAUGCUUUUGAUCUUUGAAAUGGUGCAUGCAGUGACGCUCGAACCUGGAUAUUAACA
Molecule: long non-coding RNA, 1119 nt
Organism: Nothoprocta perdicaria
Lineage: Eukaryota; Metazoa; Chordata; Aves; Tinamiformes; Tinamidae
Exons: 3
Source: RefSeq, a predicted model, not a curated record